Molecule: long non-coding RNA, 352 nt
Organism: Gopherus evgoodei (Goodes thornscrub tortoise)
Lineage: Eukaryota; Metazoa; Chordata; Testudines; Testudinidae
Exons: 3
Source: RefSeq, a predicted model, not a curated record
CCCACCUCGAUGGAUUCUAGCGGGGCGGUCAGCUUACGUGCUUCCCUCCACUCGUAGCUGGGGAGUGCCCUUGGCUCCUGCCCAGCCCGUGUGGGUGGGGACAGGCUCAGAAUUUUAGAAUCAUCCUAUCCCGACUCCCAUUCAAUUAAGAAGACACCUCCAAAUUGGUGAAUCUUCUGCUCUGCACACGACACAUCCUAUGUUCUGUUUUUUUGUCGUCCCCUGGGAUAUGUUACAUUCCCCUGUUGAACUAUUGAAUCACGUUGAGGCAAAAGAGACCAUUGAGGAUGGAGAGAGUGAGGAUUUUUAAUAAUACAUCACCACCAAGCGACUGAUCAAAGGGGAGAGCCUG